RNAcentral lists this ribosomal RNA (647 nucleotides) under Faecalibacterium prausnitzii. RNAcentral's name for it is "bacterial SSU rRNA". It matches the Rfam family "Bacterial small subunit ribosomal RNA", at positions 497 to 1152 of the family's 1533-position model. Lineage: Bacteria; Bacillati; Bacillota; Clostridia; Eubacteriales; Oscillospiraceae. The record is from RNAcentral.
CUAACUACGUGCCAGCAGCCGCGGUAAAACGUAGGUCACAAGCGUUGUCCGGAAUUACUGGGUGUAAAGGGAGCGCAGGCGGGAAGACAAGUUGGAAGUGAAAUCCAUGGGCUCAACCCAUGAACUGCUUUCAAAACUGUUUUUCUUGAGUAGUGCAGAGGUAGGCGGAAUUCCCGGUGUAGCGGUGGAAUGCGUAGAUAUCGGGAGGAACACCAGUGGCGAAGGCGGCCUACUGGGCACCAACUGACGCUGAGGCUCGAAAGUGUGGGUAGCAAACAGGAUUAGAUACCCUGGUAGUCCACACUGUAAACGAUGAUUACUAGGUGUUGGAGGAUUGACCCCUUCAGUGCCGCAGUUAACACAAUAAGUAAUCCACCUGGGGAGUACGACCGCAAGGUUGAAACUCAAAGGAAUUGACGGGGGCCCGCACAAGCAGUGGAGUAUGUGGUUUAAUUCGACGCAACGCGAAGAACCUUACCAAGUCUUGACAUCCUGCGACGCACAUAGAAAUAUGUGUUUCCUUCGGGACGCAGAGACAGGUGGUGCAUGGUUGUCGUCAGCUCGUGUCGUGAGAUGUUGGGUUAAGUCCCGCAACGAGCGCAACCCUUAUGGUCAGUUACUACGCAAGAGGACUCUGGCCAGACUGC